This 661-nucleotide ribosomal RNA is filed under the name uncultured Pseudomonadota bacterium. Its description in RNAcentral is "bacterial SSU rRNA". It matches the Rfam family "Bacterial small subunit ribosomal RNA", at positions 61 to 715 of the family's 1533-position model. The record is from RNAcentral. Lineage: Bacteria; Pseudomonadati; Pseudomonadota.
GUCGAACGGCAGCAUGGGAGCUUGCUCCUGAUGGCGAGUGGCGAACGGGUGAGUAAUAUAUCGGAACGUACCCUAGAGUGGGGGAUAACGCAGCGAAAGUUGCGCUAAUACCGCAUACGAUCUACGGAUGAAAGUGGGGGAUCGCAAGACCUCAUGCUCAUGGAGCGGCCGAUAUCUGAUUAGCUAGUUGGUGGGGUAAAGGCCUACCAAGGCUUCGAUCAGUAGCUGGUCUGAGAGGACGACCAGUCACACUGGAACUGAGACACGGUCCAGACUCCUACGGGAGGCAGCAGUGGGGAAUUUUGGACAAUGGGGGCAACCCUGAUCCAGCCAUUCCGCGUGAGUGAAGAAGGCCUUCGGGUUGUAAAGCUCUUUCAGCUGGAACGAAACGGUCCGCUCUAACAUAGCGGGCUAAUGACGGUACCAGCAGAAGAAGCCCCGGCUAACUCCGUGCCAGCAGCCGCGGUAAUACGGAGGGGGCUAGCGUUGUUCGGAAUUACUGGGCGUAAAGCGCACGUAGGCGGACCGGAAAGUCAGAGGUGAAAUCCCAGGGCUCAACCUUGGAACUGCCUUUGAAACUCCUGGUCUUGAGGUCGAGAGAGGUGAGUGGAAUUCCGAGUGUAGAGGUGAAAUGCGUAGAGAUCUGGAGGAAUACCGGUGG